Molecule: long non-coding RNA, 3456 nt
Filed under: Agrilus planipennis (emerald ash borer)
Lineage: Eukaryota; Metazoa; Arthropoda; Insecta; Coleoptera; Buprestidae
Description: uncharacterized LOC108733774, transcript variant X1
Source: RNAcentral
UGUUAUAGUAAGUAGCCUACAAGCCUAGAUGUAAAAGCAUAGAUAAUAGAUCUACAAAGGGUAAAAGUAACCAUAAAAUUAUUUAUGGCAUAAAAUUCGAAAUGGUUUUCGCAGUUUAACGUAUUAUAUUUAUCAAUUUUUGUUUCCUGAUGGUUUCUUGCUUGCGCACGUGCACGUAGCCCCUUACGGAGUUUUACCUCAGUGUUUUGAGUUAUUGAUCAAAUCAACACUACAUUGGAAAGCUUUCAACUGUUAAUUUAGGCAUGCUAUUAAAGACAGCAAGGAUAUUACAAUUAGGAGCCGUAAAAACACCGGAUACAUGUGUUAUGAAACAUUGGUGUCCCUAUCACUGCAAAGUAGCAGUACCUACAGUCCUUAGGAAAAGAUGAAGGCGCAUUUCUUGCAUUGGAAACGGAGAAAAUGUGUUAUUGUUAAAGGAAGGAUUUAUGACAUGAAUUGAUUGACAACAAAUAAGAGAGAUUAGGAUAUUAAUUUUGAUCCUAGGGAUGAGGACGUGGGAUAUCUGCACUGGUAUCCUUUUUUAAUUUGGUUUACUGUCCAUAUAUGUGGACCAUGGAACGUUGAAUUCUAGAGCGAAUUCAGGUAAUAAUACAUAUUUAAAUUAGUAUUAAUUAUACUUUAUUAAUCUGUUGCCAAUUUGGUUAACAAAAGACAUCCUGGAACAUAACGCAUAGGAGGACAAGAAUGAGUUGCUUCCUUGUAUAAAUACCGUUAGAUUGACCAUUAUUGAGUUGGGGUUGUAGGUAAUUGCGAACUUCAGUCUAGCAAAUUUUUUCUAAAAAGGCCUGGCUUUCGUUUAUAGCUCCACUACAUUUUGUCACAAAAAUUUAUAGAGAACACCGAUUUGCUCUUCCAACCCCCAAUUUAAAAACGCUUUUAUUUCUUGAUUGUUAAUAUUUUAAACCCUGCUUUUGAAAACCGAGUCUUUAAUAAUAAACCAGGGAACCAAGAAUUGCUACUGCAGCCCGACGCUCAGAAUACUUUGCAGUGAAGUGGGUUGCUUAUAUCAAGGACCAACAGUCGCCAGCGGUAUUUAAAACAAUUUGUAUUUUAAAUUCAAAUUCCUUCCCGCGAAAUUACAUGAGUGCGCUGUUGUCGAGAUAGAUAAAGGUACAAAUGUUACAGUGCGAGUCGAAAUUUGUAAGCAACUAAAUUUUUGUAUUUUAAUGAAAUAAUCUAAAUUUAUUUGGUACAUAAGCAAUCUAUGAAAAUAAUUAUAAUUUUACAACGCUCAACACUGUUAAUGUAAAUGAAUUUUUAUCAGUUUGUUUUGUAUAUUUCUGUGAUGUGGUCAUUUUUACCUCGUGUCCUGUACAUUACAAUUUUUUAUAGGUCUCCUGAUAGAGAAAGAUAAUUAUAGUUAAAUAUGCAGACAAAAAACUGUUUACUUGGGAAAAUUGUGGUGAUAGUAUAAAAAUGUAAUAAAGCAACAAUAGCCAAGGAGAUAGAUGCUUCUUAAUCAAAAACAGCAAUUGAUUAAGAAUAAAAAUAAUAUAUUCAUUUUUUUAGUAAUGAUAUAGUUACAACGAUAAGAACAAAACAGUAAAUUAUCAAUGUUCUGUCCAAAGAUUGAGUCAUUUGUUAACGGUUAUUUAUUUCGUAGGCAUCGGAAGUCAAACAAUUUAUUUCCACAUUUUCAAAAAGUAUUGUAUUUUUUUAAAAAAUCCGUGUUUUCAAAUUACGAACCAAUGAAAAUAAACGAGGUUUUAGUUAUGUAAUUCUUUUAAAAAAAUAACAUGCAAAUGAAAAUGAACAUUUCCCACUCUUAUACCAAUGAAAGGUGCUUAUCAAUUUUUUCACAAGGGUUUUAUAACUAAAACUUCUUACGUUAUUGUAGGUAUUCAGGUAUUUAAAGAAAACGAAAAGAUAACGUAGUACAUAAAAGUACAAAAUAACUGCAAAUUUUAGAAGGUUACCUAUUCAUUUUGAAAUGCUCCAACUUUUUAAUAACUAAAAUCUACAGAUCAGGUAAAUUCAAGUGUAAAUUAAUUUAUUUAUCCUGUGGUUUAACGUUGUUUAUCAUAUAUUCUACAACUAGAUGAAGGCCAUUAAUAAUUCGGGAACAGGAAAUUUAAGCUACAGAAACCGUUUAUUAAUAGACUAAAUAAACUUUAAAUGUAAACAAUUUUUCUUCAAUAACAAUAAGGUACUUCUUAAAUGUUAUACUGCAAUUACCAAAUUUCUUAAUUUCAUUUCGUUUAAUGUUUGAAAAAUUCAAUUUCUUGUCCAUUUGGUCGAAUUUUGUUAUAUGGGUCAUUGUCAAAUUUUGCGCAGGUAAAUUUAACUUAAUAUCAUAUUUUUUUUGAAAAAAAUAUAUGUUUAGAUUUUACUUUUUUCUAUGUCCGUGUCCGUUAAAACAACUGCAUUAUCAUCUAUUAUAGCUGGUCGCGAUGUUCAACCAAUAAUUUAAGAUUUAUUCCACAUUUAAUGGAUCAGGGUGUAAAAAAAAUACAACUUUGUUACCAAUUAGUUUUACCUUUUAUUAUGAAAUUAAACAAGUCAGUAGCAAAUAUUUUGGUAUUCAUAUUAAACAGUCUUAUAUCUUUUACAUAUAAUUAGAAUCAUAACAGUCUUUUGUUAAGUUUAACAAUCAUUAAUCUAAACUCUUAAACAACUCUGUUACUUAUUGAAUAUUAAAAUACCUUAAAUUCUACUUAAGUCCUCCAAAUAUCUAUAUAUUAACAGCUAACUGGAACAUAAUACUGUAUAAUAUCAUAAAUUAGUAACAGAGUUGCGUAGUAACAGAGUGGUAAAUUUUACAUUCCAUUAUACACAAGUCAAAAAAUAAAGCGUAAAGUAAAAUAUUUCGUUCACAUUUAACACAUUUACCCCUCAGACAAUAAACUGAACGUAAACUAAUGAAAAAAUAUUCAUUUACUUAUGUGAAUAGGUAGGUAACAAGGUGGACGGGCAAUUUAAACACGCAGCACGUUCAACACCUUGCGGUCGACUGUCGAGCGACAUACCCCUCCCCCCAACCUAACGAACUCCCACGACGAAUGCAGACAUUUCGCCCAAAAUAAAACAGUGUCCAAAACAGCGCCAUCUUCAUUUUGAGUCGUGAAUUAGUUAGUAACAUAGUGAACCAGCCGGUUCCAGAUAGUACGUGGGACAAAGUUUAGAAAAUUAUUUAAAAACUAAAUUUUAAUACUGACUGAUUUUAAAACAUAUUUUAUUGAAUAUUUAUAAUACUCUGUUUACGAUUAUAAUUUAUAUUAAGAGGGUUACUAUAGUAGAAAAUGCAUUUAUAUGAUGUUUAUUGUAACGGAAUGCUACAUGGGACAGGUACAAUUUGUAAGGAAAACCUUUCUGUUACCACUAAUGACCAUUUUGUUAAUUGAAAAAAAUUGAAAAAUAUCGAAACUUGAGUCUUUAUUCCAAUAAUGGAUGUUCGCUAUAGCGAUGUAUUUUGUAUUUAAUAUAUAAUUCGUUAAG